CCUACGGGCGGCAGCAGUGAGGAAUAUUGGUCAAUGGACGAGAGUCUGAACCAGCCAAGUAGCGUGAAGGAUGAAGGCCCAAUGGGUUGUAAACUUCUUUUAUAGGGGAAUAAAAUGGGCCACGUGUGGGAGGUUGUAUGUACCAUAUGAAUAAGGAACGGCUAACUCCGUGCCAGCAGCCGCGGUAAUACGGAGGAUCCGAGCGUUAUCCGGAUUUAUUGGGUUUAAAGGGAGCGUAGGUGGAUUGUUAAGUCAGUUGUGAAAGUUUGCGGCUCAACCGUAAACUUGCAGGUGACACGGGCAGUCUUGAGUUCAGUAGAGGUGGGCGGAAUUCGUGGUGUAGCGG
This 346-nucleotide ribosomal RNA is filed under the name uncultured bacterium. RNAcentral describes it as "partial 16S ribosomal RNA". It matches the Rfam family "Bacterial small subunit ribosomal RNA", at positions 338 to 681 of the family's 1533-position model. The record is from RNAcentral.